Non-coding RNA from Vicia faba (fava bean), 237 nucleotides. The record is from the annotation of a GenBank genome assembly. Lineage: Eukaryota; Viridiplantae; Streptophyta; Magnoliopsida; Fabales; Fabaceae.
AUGUUGAAAGAGCCCACCAAUGAAAGGGAUUCCCACAAGAAAAAACUGGAAGAAGAUAUAGCCAAUACUAAAGAGGAUGUAGUUGACGUUGUUGAUAAGGCCUUUAAGAAAGUCAAGGCACAAGUAGCUCACCUCUACCCAUACCUAAAAUUGAGCGAGUUCGACUUGUACGAAAUUGUGAAAGUCAAUCUUAACACAUAUAUAUAUAUACACAAAUAUUUCUCGAGACACAUUUAA